GAUGAACGCUGGCGGCGUGCCUAAUACAUGCAAGUCGAGCGAACAGACGAGGAGCUUGCUCCUCUGACGUUAGCGGCGGACGGGUGAGUAACACGUGGAUAACCUACCUAUAAGACUGGGAUAACUUCGGGAAACCGGAGCUAAUACCGGAUAAUAUAUUGAACCGCAUGGUUCAAUAGUGAAAGACGGUUUUGCUGUCACUUAUAGAUGGAUCCGCGCCGCAUUAGCUAGUUGGUAAGGUAACGGCUUACCAAGGCAACGAUGCGUAGCCGACCCGAGAGGGUGAUCGGACACACUGGAAGUGAGACACGGUACAGACUCCGACGGGAGGCAGCAGUAGGGAAUCUUCCGCAAUGGGCGAAAGCCUGACGGAGCAACGCCGCGUGAGUGAUGAAGGUCUUCGGAUCGUAAAACUCUGUUAUUAGGGAAGAACAAAUGUGUAAGUAACUAUGAACGUCUUGACGGUACCUAAUCAGAAAGCCACGGCUAACUACGUG
Molecule: ribosomal RNA, 497 nt
Filed under: uncultured bacterium
Lineage: Bacteria
Description: partial 16S ribosomal RNA
Rfam family: Bacterial small subunit ribosomal RNA
Source: RNAcentral